UACGGGGGGGGCAAGCGUUGUUCGGAAUUACUGGGCGUAAAGGGCUCGUAGGCGGCCAACUAAGUCAGACGUGAAAUCCCUCGGCUUAACCGGGGAACUGCGUCUGAUACUGGAUGGCUUGAGUUUGGGAGAGGGAUGCGGAAUUCCUGGUGUAGCGGUGGAAUGCGCAGAUAUCAGGAGGAACACCGGUGGCGAAGGCGGGUCUCUGGGCAGUAACUGACGCUGAGGAGCGAAAGCGUGGGGAGCGAACAGG
This 253-nucleotide ribosomal RNA is filed under the name uncultured bacterium. RNAcentral's name for it is "partial 16S ribosomal RNA". It matches the Rfam family "Bacterial small subunit ribosomal RNA", at positions 524 to 776 of the family's 1533-position model. The record is from RNAcentral.